AGUGGUUUUGCUUGCUGGGUUAUGAAGUUAUUUAUUCUUGUUUAGAGAAAUCGACUCUUAUUGCGAAAGGAGGUGAUUGAUGUUAUUUUUGGUUUAAACAUGUUUGCUUUUUUCUUAGUUAAAGGUUUCAGCCUCCUUUGAUCUUGGUUUGAUAACUUUUGCUUUGUAUUUAUACCGUCUUUA
Non-coding RNA from Arabidopsis thaliana (thale cress), 183 nucleotides. Lineage: Eukaryota; Viridiplantae; Streptophyta; Magnoliopsida; Brassicales; Brassicaceae. The record is from RefSeq.